UGGAACAUGGCAAAGUGUAUCUGAUGUUUGUUGUAGAACAAUGUCCUGAGCAGUCAGUCCUCCAGACAUCUGACAAUACAUGGCUUCCACCCCAAUUACGGCCUCUCUGAAAAUCAGUGUGGGCCACUCUAGCCCUGGUGACAGAUGUCAAUUUCCAGGAAGUGAAAGGGCAGAAGUGACUUUGCCUACUUAUUCAUUACCCUGCAUAGUGACUUGGAAGCCAUUUUUGACCACCACCUGCUUGAGGUCAGCAUUGGAGACUGCACCCAUCCAAACAACCACACCCAUUCACUCACCAGGGACAUGCAUCUAGUGGGGGCAUCCUCCAAUCCAGCCACCACCUACUGAGCCAAGGUUCAUCCCUCUGUCUGUCCAUCAAUCAGUCCCCACCAGCCUUCAUCCAUCUAUGUCCAUCCUCCUUUAACCAUGACCCCUCCAUCCACAUCCAACAUCAUGUGCAAGCUUGGCACCAAGUGGACCAGGGAGGAAGUAAUAUAUCUCGUUGCCAUUUGGGGGAAGGUAGAGAACCAGUAGAAAAUCUAUCUAUUCAAGCCCCUAAAACCAGAUGGUCUUUGUAUCCUCAUGGUGAAUGAUGAAGUGGUGUGCCAGAACGUGAUGGACAUGGUCUGCAUCACCCAGCACAGCAAAGAGGCCUCUGAUGCCACUGUGAUCAAAUUCAUGCAUUCCUCACAGAAGACUUCAGCAAUGACCCAGGAGAUGAACCAGGUUGAAGAUUUUGGUGCAGACUUUGACAUUAAUCUAGACUCAGACCUCAGGUGGCCAGAUUUCUCCAGCUGUUUCCUGUCCUCAGCAUCCCAACCAGCCCUACUACGACAGGCUGACACCUACAAAUGAUGGUGAUGACACCACAGCAUCCUAUUAUGGUUGAAGAAUGUAGGCAGAGACCGGGGCCCAGAAAGCAUCCAGGCAGAGGAAGAGCCACACACAUACAGUAACAUGAACUGGGCUCUUUGGUGGAGGAUAGCUGGUCCUGGGUCAGAGGCAAGGGAGUGGCAGGAGAAAGAGCAGCUAUAUGACUGCCA
Molecule: long non-coding RNA, 1043 nt
Filed under: Crocodylus porosus (Australian saltwater crocodile)
Lineage: Eukaryota; Metazoa; Chordata; Crocodylia; Crocodylidae
Description: lncRNA (ENSCPRG00005012362.1)
Source: RNAcentral